AGCUAGCCUCGUUCGGUACAUUUAGUUAGCUGUUAGCUGGCUCCGUUCGGUACAUUUAGUUAGCUGUUAGCUCGCUCCGUUCGGUACAUUUACUUCGCUGCCAGCUGGCUCCGUUCGGUACAUUUACUUCGCUGCUAGCUGGCUCCGUUCGGUACAUUUACUUCGCUGCUAGCUGGCUCCGUUCGGUACAUUUAGUUAGCUGCUAGCUGGCUCCGUUCGGUACAUUUAGUUAGCUGCUAGCUGGCUCCGUUCGGUACAUUUAGUUAGCUGCUAGCUGGCUCCGUUCGGUACAUUUAGUUAGCUGCUAGCUGGCUCCGUUCGGUACAUUUAGUUAGCGGUUAGCUAGCUCCAUUAGGUACAUUUACUUCGCUGUUAGCUGGCUCCGUUCGGUACAUUUACUUCGCUGUUAGCUGGCUCCGUUCGGUACAUUUAGUUAGCUGCUAGCUGGCUCCGUUCGGUACAUUUAGUUAGCUGUUAGCUAGCUCCAUUAGGUACAUUUAGUUAGCUGUUAGCUAGCUCCGUUCGGUACAUUUAGUUAGCUGCUAACUAGCCUCGUUCGGUACAUUUAGUUACCA
Acanthochromis polyacanthus (spiny chromis) is the source of this 575-nucleotide long non-coding RNA. RefSeq lists it as uncharacterized. Lineage: Eukaryota; Metazoa; Chordata; Actinopteri; Pomacentridae. The record is from RefSeq and is a predicted model, not a curated record. The transcript has 3 exons.